GGAGGCUUUGAAGAUGGGGAGAGCACCAGUCAAGUGGAUCUGAAGCAAGGAGGGAGUUCCAGGCCGGGGGAACACGGGUUGGAUGGCUGAGGAACAACAGAGGAAACCUUGGUGGCAGUGCUUAACUAAAAUCAGCUUGAAAACCACUUGUCCAACAGCAGCCAAAAGGAAACCUAGAGCCACUGAUGUGUUAGUGUCCUGCCUUUGUCCUGAUUUUAAAAUAUGCCACCAAUACGCCACAAGACUCUGAAGAGGUGUGGCCUUGUCCCAACGGCAAGCGGGAGAGCAGAGGGGAGAGGAGUAUGCUCAGUUUUGACAAAACACCUGCUUUCACUGCUCAUUUUGGGGUAGACCGCGACAGCAGAAUCAGGGAACGUCCUUCCGACAGCGUACGUUUGACUGGGUACACCGUGAUGCGGUCUUGGAAGAAACUGAU
Molecule: long non-coding RNA, 436 nt
Organism: Tachyglossus aculeatus (Australian echidna)
Lineage: Eukaryota; Metazoa; Chordata; Mammalia; Monotremata; Tachyglossidae
Exons: 3
Source: RefSeq, a predicted model, not a curated record